UAACCCUACUUAUUGAUUAAAUUAAUUAAUUCAGCACUUAAUUGUUUUAAGUCCAUUUGAUAAUCACAAAUAUACCAACUUAACUUAUUCAAUUAAGCUAAAAGUCACUUAAAAUAAUAAGUUUGAAAUUUUGACUUAAAAUUUCUACUUAACACGCUAAGUUGUAAGAUUUUGAAAGUUUGAAAUUAAACUGACUUUAAUAUCCUCAUUACCCUCAAAUUAUUACCCACGUACAAAUCUGUUCUCUUCUCCAUCACAACCCUAUUUUUUUUCUCAUAAACAACGUGUGAUUGAAUUGAAGACACUCAACUAGUAUUAAUCACUUCAAAUCCUUUUACUACAGUAUAUUAAAAAAAAUUAGAAGGCUCCAUCAUCUCUUUCGUCUCAAGCUUUAUUGGGUUGAUUCAAUUGAUAAUAAGAAUGGCAUCCGAUGAUUAUACUAGAGCCAAUUGGAAGGAUCCUGUUUUAGUUAAAAAAAAUUUGGACUUAUGCAUUGAACAAGUGAGUGAUGCUGGAAAACAAGGGAGUAGUUUAAAGAAAGAUUUCUGGCUAAAAAUUAUAAAAGCAUUUGAAGAAAAAAAGAAUCUCAAGUUAAAUCAAAAACAAAUGAAAAAUCAAUGGAACUACUUGAGACAAAAAUAUACUAUAUGGUCGAAUAUAGUAGGAAAAAGCGGACAUGGAUUCGAUCCUGUAACAAAUACAGUUAAUUGGAGUUCUGAAGAAUGGGAUGAAUAU
Molecule: long non-coding RNA, 735 nt
Organism: Mercurialis annua (annual mercury)
Lineage: Eukaryota; Viridiplantae; Streptophyta; Magnoliopsida; Malpighiales; Euphorbiaceae
Exons: 3
Source: RefSeq, a predicted model, not a curated record